UACGAAGGGGGCUAGCGUUGCUCGGAAUCACUGGGCGUAAAGCGCACGUAGGCGGAUUGUUAAGUCAGGGGUGAAAUCCUGGAGCUCAACUCCAGAACUGCCUUUGAUACUGGCGAUCUCGAGUCCGGGAGAGGUGAGUGGAACUGCGAGUGUAGAGGUGAAAUUCGUAGAUAUUCGCAAGAACACCAGUGGCGAAGGCGGCUCACUGGCCCGGUACUGACGCUGAGGCGCGAAAGCUAGGGGAGCAAACGGG
Molecule: ribosomal RNA, 253 nt
Filed under: uncultured bacterium
Lineage: Bacteria
Description: partial 16S ribosomal RNA
Rfam family: Bacterial small subunit ribosomal RNA
Source: RNAcentral